UCUUAAUUGGUUCAUUGGUUGCAUCUGGUGCAUUUCACAUAAGAGGGACACGGACAAUACGUUUGUGUCCUCCACUGUUUGGCAGUUUAUCGUCUCCCAAACACGGUUAAAGACUUUUUGAAGUAAAGAGGAGCAUCUCAUCUGGACCUGAUGUCUAUCAUGGAUAUCUAACUGCAGUACUCGUUCUACUUGCGGGCCCAUUUCUGAUCAUCAGUGAAGGCUGAAGAUCAUUUCAAGGUGGAUGACAAUUUGGCAUUUCUUCGACGGAACCCUGCACCUGAAUAUGGCUGAGUAUAUUUGAUUUAAUAGCGAUACUGCUUAGUGUUCUUUGUUACUUCAGCUUUCGUAUGUUCUAAAUAUCUGGUGUCAAUAAUUGCCACGGAAGUAAAACCCUACCCAAUGGAAUGACGUUAAACAACAACUUUGGUGCCUAGUUACCAACUGGAUAAUAACAAAGCUAAAAUAAUGGCCGUCUUUCCCACAUGUUACAGUAGAAGAAACUCUAGAACUGUACAAAAAGGUAACAUGUAGUUUGUCCCAAGGUGUCUGCCUCCUCACCCAGAGCCAGACCUCCACCUCCUCACCCAGAGCCAGACCUCCACCUCCUCACCCAGAGCCAGACCUCCACCUCCUCACCCAGAGCCAGACCUCCACCUCCUCACCCAGAGCCAGACCUCCACCUCCUCACCCAGAGCCAGACCUCCACCUCCUCACCCAGAGCCAGACCUCCACCUCCUCACCCAGAGCCAGACCUCCACCUCCUCACCCAGAGCCAGACCUUCACCUCCUCACCCAGAGCCAGACCUUCACCUCCUCACCCAGAGCCAGACCUCCACCUCCUCACCCAGAGCCAGACCUCCACCUCCUCGCCCAGAGCCAGACCUCCACCUCCUCGCCCAGAGCCAGACCUCCACCUCCUCGCCCAGAGCCAGACCUCCACCUCCUCGCCCAGAGCCAGACCUCCACCUCCUCGCCCAGAGCCAGACCUCCACCUCCUCGCCCAGAGCCAGACCGCCACCUCCUCGCCCAGAGCCAGACCUCCACCUCCUCACCCAGAGCCAGACCUCCACCUCCUCACCCAGAGCCAGACCUCCACCUCCUGUCAGAAGUCCUCCAGAACAGCUGAAAGGCGAGGCUGAGAGGCUGGGGACCGGCUUGUGGUGCCAGGAAGGACCGGAGACUGAGGCUGGAGACCAGGGGCCUGCAGCACCGGACCAGAGGACGUUGGGGCCAGAUUUGAGCUGUUUGUUCCAGACCAGGACUCUGGCUGAGGAGUGCUGAUGGAGGAGCCAAGACUCUGGAGGACGACACCACUCUACCAACAAGGAUCCUCGUCAGUUUGCAUAAAGUAAAGUGUGGACUUGUUGUAACACAGGAUUAGUUUGUCCAGUAGUUAAGUUAAGGCAUACUACUGUGGUUGGUUACCAGACAAACUACAGCUGCUACUUUCUUCCGCGUAAUUAGAGUCCAGCUACUGCUGUGUUUGUGACCUCACAUUAGAGCCAAACUACUAAUGUGUUUGUUACCUUACAUUAGAGACAAAUUACGUUUGUAACCAGACCAGGAAUCUGGAUUACUGACGGAGAAGCCCAGAGCCGGCGCUGGCUGUUUCGGCGCCCUAGGCGGC
This is a long non-coding RNA of Gadus macrocephalus (Pacific cod), 1627 nucleotides long. RefSeq lists it as uncharacterized. The transcript has 6 exons. The record is from RefSeq and is a predicted model, not a curated record. NCBI's taxonomy places the organism in Eukaryota, Metazoa, Chordata, Actinopteri, Gadiformes, Gadidae.